ACGGAAGGCAGCAGUGGGGAAUAUUGCACAAUGGGGGAAACCCUGAUGUAGCGACGCCGCGUGAGUGAAGAAGUAUUUCGGUAUGUAAAGCUCUAUCAGCAGGGAAGAAAAUGACGGUACCUGACUAAGAAGCCCCGGCUAACUACGUGCCAGCAGCCGCGGUAAUACGUAGGGGGCAAGCGUUAUCCGGAUUUACUGGGUGUAAAGGGAGCGUAGACGGCGAUGCAAGUCUGAUGUGAAAGCCCGGGGCUCAACCCCGGCACUGCAUUGGAAACUGUGUUGCUAGAGUGCAGGAGAGGUAAGUGGAAUUCCUAGUGUAGCGGUGAAAUGCGUAGAUAUUAGGAGGAACACCAGUGGCGAAGGCGGCUUACUGGACUGUAACUGACGUUGAGGCUCGAAAGCGUGGGGAGCAAACAGGAUUAGAUACCCUGGUA
RNAcentral lists this ribosomal RNA (434 nucleotides) under uncultured Lachnospiraceae bacterium. Its description in RNAcentral is "partial 16S ribosomal RNA". It matches the Rfam family "Bacterial small subunit ribosomal RNA", at positions 341 to 792 of the family's 1533-position model. Lineage: Bacteria; Bacillati; Bacillota; Clostridia; Lachnospirales; Lachnospiraceae. The record is from RNAcentral.